CGCGCUGUCAGCGGCGCCCGGGCAGCGGGACGCUCCUCCAGGGGGCGGUUGGAGAAGGGGCUCUUCGGGCGCUCCCCAAAACACCAACCCAGGAGCCACAGGCGCUAGCUCUGGGCAGUUGGAGAGAAACUGGAAAAGGAAAUAAGAUCUGCAGUUCGGACUGGUGCCGGCCUGACAGUGUCUGCCUGUCUCCCGGAGUCCCAGCACCUCCACUCGCGCCUCGCAGCGACCGCCACACUCAGUGCAACUCUGAGUCCUUAUCCAGCCCGAGCUCAACACUUAUCUGCUACCAGUCAACCCCUAAAAAUAGCCCAUGAUGUCACCCCAAGGCCUUCGCAUUGGCUCGCGUCGCUCUCAAGGGGGCGGGCCCGCCCGUCGCCAUGGAGACCCCACCCUAGAAGAUUCUUCUCCGGACCCGCGGAGGCUCACGGGAUGAGGUUGUCAACUUGGAUACAUGCAUCCACAUCACAGUUGGAGUAAAGAGGCAGAAAUGAAAACUGAAAUACAAUUGUGCCUGCACCUGUUGUCUUUCAGAGGAUCCUCACAGCGGUCUUCUGAGUAAACUGAGGUUCAGAGUUGCACCCAGCUGCCCCUGCCCACUCUUGGUGAAUAAUUGCUGAAUAAAUGCUGGAAUGAGAGAACACAGGCUUGAAGAAGUCAUCACAAAAGCUGAGCUCCCACCAUGGACCAAGGCCCUGGGCCAAGACGGAUAAGAGGCCUGGAUUUACUCUCCCACCUGAAACAACCGAAAAGACCCGACAGUAUAUCAAACAGUGGUUCUCAGAGCACCAGCUAUCUGGAAAUGAAGCAGCGACCCCUGAAAGACAGGAAGCCAGUGAGGAAACUUCCCGCGUCUUUAUGUACCAACACCUGUGAUUAUGCAAAGCUUCGUUUAAAACCACAGUCCGUGUUCACAUCCAGAACAUAAACAAACUGAGGACUUGCUGUUCCAUGCCCUCCCUCCCAACUUUCCAAAAGAAUAUCUUCUCAACAUAAAGAGAGAUGCACUCUUCGUUUCUGUGGAAAACAAGUGCUCCUGGUUAUAUGAUCACAUACCCCUGAAACGGUUACGUUUCUUCAUGUGCUGCAUUUUAGAAGGCCCAUAAAAGAGUUCUUGUCGAGAGAAAACACAGCUGGUGCCCAAUUAGAGAGGUGAUCAAGACUAAUUGACCGCGAGAGCUCGUAAUGAAGCCAGACCCCACGCUGCUGAGAGAGAGACUGCGGCUGGGGAUGGAGGUGGCACCACUUGAUCACGCAAAGGCCAUGACUGAGAGGGGUGGAUGGUUUAUUCCGGGAGGCAGAGUUGGUCAUGUGGUGACCCCUGAAUUGAAGGUUUAAAGGCUGGCUCUGCAAGGCUGA
Myotis lucifugus (little brown bat) is the source of this 1359-nucleotide long non-coding RNA. RefSeq lists it as uncharacterized. The record is from RefSeq and is a predicted model, not a curated record. The transcript has 6 exons. Lineage: Eukaryota; Metazoa; Chordata; Mammalia; Chiroptera; Vespertilionidae.